Molecule: long non-coding RNA, 1127 nt
Organism: Anguilla anguilla (European eel)
Lineage: Eukaryota; Metazoa; Chordata; Actinopteri; Anguilliformes; Anguillidae
Exons: 6
Source: RefSeq, a predicted model, not a curated record
GAAAGCGGAGAGGGUUAGAGAGAGAGGAAGGAUCACAGCUCAGAAGGUGUUAUGGCAGGUGUUCAAACCAGAGACUAAAAAAUUUUGCUUAUUUCCAUACCAAUAAUGUUAUUGGUGGAGAAUGAAGAGACAACAACUGUCACUCCAACCCUCGCUGAAACAGACAUUCCCUUUGCAUUCUGACAUCAUAGUCUACUUUGGUUGCCACAACCCAGGGAAAUAAAUGCCAUCAAAUUUGAGGAAGCACAUCGAGACAGGUCCUCCCUGUCGUCUGGGGCUGAGAGAAAUCUAGGGACCAGCUUUCGGGAUGCAGCCACCCAAACAGUGGAGAUUACCACAUCCGAUUGUGCCACACAGGUGGACGAGACCAUGUUCACCUGCAGUGUGUCCCAGGAUGACGUUUUGCAGGCCUCUGAGCAUUGCCUGGAUUCUCUAUCCUGGCAUUCAGAGUAUGCUGAAGAGGCCCACAAGGUCUGCUUGGCUCUGGAAAUGCACGCACUGGAAAAACCCCCCUUCAGCACAGGGUUCCAGCGCUGCUCAUUCCGAUCGCGCAUACCUGUCCUGGCUCGCACCACCAGCAGCAGAGGAAGAUGUAAGGAUGUCCAAAAGAUUGGAACCAUCACCCAUGACGUACGCUGUCUGAAAAAAGCUUGACUGCUGGAAUUGGACAAAACACAGUCAAGCAGGUGGCAAGAUAGCAGCAGAUUGUGCAGACAGGCCCUUAGCCAGAACACCACCCCAGCUCAUGACCAUCAUCAGCGCUUUCAACUAGAUGCUGCAGACCUUCUAAUUCCAUCUUCCCUCAGAACCACAUUCCAUCUUCCCUCUAAACCAGCUGCUGAUACUAUCUUCCUUCUAAGCUACCUUCUGAUACUAUCUUCCUUCUAAGCUACCUUCUGAUACUAUCUUCCUUCUAAGCUACCUUCUGAUACUAUCUUCCUUCUAAACCACCUUCUGAUACUAUCUUCCUUCUAAACCACCUUCUGAUACUAUCUUCCCUCUAAACCAGCUGCUGAUACCAUCUUCCUUAUAAGUCAUGUUCAUCCCCAUAUCCCCCUUUUCCAUCUCUUCAAUAAAUAACAAAAUAAAAAAUAAUCUGGUAAAUGGACUGCAUUUAUAUAGCGCUU